GAAAUGCGAUAAGUAAUGUGAAUUGCAGAAUUCAGUGAAUCAUCGAAUCUUUGAACGCACAUUGCGCCCCGUGGUAUUCCGCGGGGCAUGCCUGUUCGAGCGUCAUUUCAACCCCUCAAGCUUCGGCUUGGUCUUGGAGCCUGCGGUCUCGCAGCCCCUAAACUCAGUGGCGGUGCUAUUGAGCUCUGAGCGUAGUAAAUCUCCUCGCUAUAGAGCCUCGGUAGUUGCUUGCCAACAACCCCCAAUUUUUAUCAGGUUGACCUCGGAUCAGGUAGGGAUACCCGCUGAACUUAA
This 294-nucleotide unclassified non-coding RNA is filed under the name uncultured Fontanospora. RNAcentral describes it as "sequence contains ITS1". The stretch from base 1 to 105 matches the Rfam family "5.8S ribosomal RNA", at positions 50 to 154 of the family's 154-position model. The record is from RNAcentral. Lineage: Eukaryota; Fungi; Ascomycota; Leotiomycetes; Helotiales; Helotiaceae.